RNAcentral lists this ribosomal RNA (539 nucleotides) under uncultured bacterium. RNAcentral describes it as "bacterial SSU rRNA". It matches the Rfam family "Bacterial small subunit ribosomal RNA", at positions 776 to 1315 of the family's 1533-position model. The record is from RNAcentral.
AAAUAGAUACCCUGGUAGUCCACGCCGUAAACGUUGGGCGCUAGGUGUGGGGAACCUUCCACGUUCUCCGUGCCGCAGCUAACGCAUUAAGCGCCCCGCCUGGGGAGUACGGCCGCAAGGCUAAAACUCAAAGGAAUUGACGGGGGCCCGCACAAGCGGCGGAGCAUGUGGCUUAAUUCGACGCAACGCGAAGAACCUUACCAAGGCUUGACAUAUGGCGAAAACUGGCAGAGAUGUCAGGUCCGCAAGGGCGCCAAACAGGUGGUGCAUGGUUGUCGUCAGCUCGUGUCGUGAGAUGUUGGGUUAAGUCCCGCAACGAGCGCAACCCUUGUUCUAUGUUGCCAGCGAGUAAUGUCGGGGACUCAUAGGAGACUGCCGGGGUCAACUCGGAGGAAGGUGGGGAUGACGUCAAAUCAUCAUGCCCCUUAUGUCUUGGGCUGCACACAUGCUACAAUGGCCGGUACAAAGGGCUGCGAAACCGCAAGGUAGAGCGAAUCCCAAAAAGCCGGUCUCAGUUCGGAUUGGGGUCUGCAACUCGA